Molecule: long non-coding RNA, 301 nt
Organism: Portunus trituberculatus (swimming crab)
Lineage: Eukaryota; Metazoa; Arthropoda; Malacostraca; Decapoda; Portunidae
Exons: 3
Source: RefSeq, a predicted model, not a curated record
ACCGCCCACCGCCCACCUCAUCCCCUCACCUGGGCUCUCAAAAUGGCUCCUGUAGCUCCCCCAGGUAUGGGUUGGCAAGGCACAUGUCACCUGGAGCGUAGGUUGCCAUACACCACACGGCAGCUCACCCCAGUACCUCUGCCGCGUGUGCCACUAGCGGGUGCGUCCCCUGGGAGUCCCGCAGGUCCCCCGAGGCCCAGGGUGUAAGAAUCCACAGCCUCCCCCGGGGUUAAUCCAGCGGCCACCUCUUCAUUCCCCGGGACCUCACUCACGACAACCUGCCCACCCUACUUACCCACCU